GCAAUGCCGCGUGCAGGAAGAAGGCCUUCGGGUUGUAAACUGCUUUUGUCAGGGAAGAAAUCCUCUAGGUUAAUACCCUUGGGGGGAUGACGGUACCUGAAGAAUAAGCACCGGCUAACUACGUGCCAGCAGCCGCGGUAAUACGUAGGGUGCGAGCGUUAAUCGGAAUUACUGGGCGUAAAGCGUGCGCAGGCGGCUUUGCAAGACAGAUGUGAAAUCCCCGGGCUCAACCUGGGAACUGCAUUUGUGACUGCAAGGCUAGAGUACGGCAGAGGGGGAUGGAAUUCCGCGUGUAGCAGUGAAAUGCGUAGAUAUGCGGAGGAACACCGAUGGCGAAGGCAAUCCCCUGGGCCUGUACUGACGCUCAUGCACGAAAGCGUGGGGAGCAAACAGGAUUAGAUACCCUGGUAGUCCACGCCCUAAACGAUGUCAACUGGUUGUUGGACGGCUUGCUGUUCAGUAACGAAGCUAA
Molecule: ribosomal RNA, 472 nt
Filed under: Aquabacterium sp.
Lineage: Bacteria; Pseudomonadati; Pseudomonadota; Betaproteobacteria; Burkholderiales; Sphaerotilaceae
Description: bacterial SSU rRNA
Rfam family: Bacterial small subunit ribosomal RNA
Source: RNAcentral